Paramuricea clavata is the source of this 560-nucleotide non-coding RNA. Lineage: Eukaryota; Metazoa; Cnidaria; Anthozoa; Malacalcyonacea; Plexauridae. The record is from the annotation of a GenBank genome assembly.
CCCCACACCCACUCAGGCGCUAAAUUUUUGAUGAGGCACGUGACCAGCCGCAGCCAGGGUCUUUCCCAAAGAAAGAUCCUGGGUACGAGGUUGGCUCCGCCCACCCAUAUCCCUGGUAAAUUGUAGAUGUGAAUCGAAUGUGUUAAGAGCCUGGAAAAAUGCAUUAAAGCGUUCAACGGAACCACGCCAAAGUACAAUGGUAUCGUCACGGAAGCGAAACCAGCACCUAAGUUCCGGAUAAAUAGUCCGUGAUGCUAAAACUUUUUGAUCUAUGUUUUCAGCAACAAUGUCAGCAUAUGAGCAAGAGUUUUUGGGGCCCAUAGCCGUACCAUUUUCCUGCAACCUAUAUUGCCCACGAAAAGUGGAACAAUUUCUCUUGAGACAAAUUUCCAAGGCUUCCACAACACAUUCAACCGGCACGUCAAGUUUAUCAGCAUAUUGAGUAAGUUUGUAUCUAACCCUUUCAACCCCCGACUGGUUAUCUAUAGACGGAAACAUGUUAGUAAUGUCGAAACUAACCAACAAGUCACCAUCUUCUACCCCCUCCAAAUCAAGCUCAU